RNAcentral lists this ribosomal RNA (612 nucleotides) under Triticum aestivum (bread wheat). Its description in RNAcentral is "partial small subunit ribosomal RNA". The record is from RNAcentral. Lineage: Eukaryota; Viridiplantae; Streptophyta; Magnoliopsida; Poales; Poaceae.
AUGGCGGAACUGGUCAAGAACCCAAAGGUGAUGCGUCGAGCCACAAUGGAGGUGCGGCGAGCCUUCGAGGCCGGCGGCAAGGUGGUCGAGCAGCAGCUCGGCGAACUCGUCCCGUACCUGCACCUCGUCAUCCGGGAGACUCUACAGCUGCACACGCCGCCGCUGCUGCUCCCCCGGGAGUGCCGAGAGGAGCCGGCGUGCAGGGUGCUCGGCUACGACGUGCCCAAGGGCACGCAGGUGCUGGUCAACGCCUGGGCGCUGGGCCGCGACGAGCGGUACUGGCCUGAUAAGCCUGAGGAGUUCCGUCCGGAGCGCUUCGAGCCCGCCGGCGACGGUAAAGACGGCGCGGCGGUGGAGGUGGACUUCAAGGGCGUGGACUUCGAGUUCCUGCCGUUUGGUGCCGGGAGGAGGAUGUGCCCCGGAAUGGCGUUCGGGCUCGCCAACGUGGAGCUCGCGCUCGCCAGCUUGCUGCUACACUUCGACUGGGAAGCGCCCGGCCCCAACGGGUCGCUCGACAUGACCGAGGCGUUUGGCAUCACCGCACGGCGGAAGGCCGGCCUCCUGCUCCGCCCCAUCAUGCGCUUGCCUGUCCCGGACAACUUAACUAGUUGA